This 54-nucleotide transfer RNA is filed under the name Oxyuris equi. RNAcentral describes it as "tRNA-Gln". The record is from RNAcentral. Lineage: Eukaryota; Metazoa; Nematoda; Chromadorea; Rhabditida; Oxyuridae.
AAUGUUUUAGUAUAAGUAGUAUAACCGUGUUUGGGGCGGGGGGUGUUAAUGUUG